Molecule: long non-coding RNA, 307 nt
Organism: Xenia sp. Carnegie-2017
Lineage: Eukaryota; Metazoa; Cnidaria; Anthozoa; Malacalcyonacea; Xeniidae
Exons: 2
Source: RefSeq, a predicted model, not a curated record
AAUCGAUGCGAGCUGAAAAUAAAUCGUCCUAGAUGCGUAAUGGUUGAAAAAGAACAACAAAUAAUUGAAGCACAAAGUAAUGGAUUUAAAAAUCAGAAUCGAAGUGAUCGCGUUUUACGUCAGUGAAGGUGUGCCGCAGGACUUUGAUAACCAAUGAGCUCGCAUAUGGGAUAUGUACAUUACAUUAUUGCAAUACAUAAUGCUUCUUGGUUUGUGUUACACGUCUCUGCGCAUGCCUAAUGAACAAGAUAAAACGUUACAAGAAAUGGAUAGAAAAAAAGAAUGCUUAAUGGGGAUCACCGCGAAA